RNAcentral lists this unclassified non-coding RNA (279 nucleotides) under plant metagenome. RNAcentral's name for it is "partial contains small subunit ribosomal RNA, internal transcribed spacer 1, and 5.8S ribosomal RNA". The record is from RNAcentral.
UCUCCGUUGGUGAACCAGCGGAGGGAUCAUUCCAAAUAUUUGACUACUCGCAACCCUAGCGUACAUAACCAAUUCUGUUCUAAUGGUUUCAGGCCUUUUGAACAGGUCGGCGCGAGUAGGCCGUUCCUCCCGGACCGCCGGGGGCGACGGUCCCGAGGGCCUUUUAUAUCUUAACCACUGAUCACCCACGAAUAUAACAAAAAAACUAAUCCAAAUUUACUAAUACAAAACAAUUACAACUUUCAACAAUGGAUCUCUUAGCUGACGGAUCGACGAAAA